UUGUGUCCUCACCCCCUCCGUUCGAGGAA
This 29-nucleotide small RNA is filed under the name Bombyx mori (domestic silkworm). RNAcentral's name for it is "ovarian small RNA-38167". The record is from RNAcentral. Lineage: Eukaryota; Metazoa; Arthropoda; Insecta; Lepidoptera; Bombycidae.